CCUACGGGAGACAGCAGUGGGGAAUAUUGCACAAUGGGGGCGACCCUGAUGCAGCGACGCCGCGUGAAUGAAGAAGUACUUCGUUAUGUAAAGCUCUAUCAACAGGGAAGAAAAUGACGGUACCUGAGUAAGAAGCCCCGGCUAACUACGUGCCAGCAGCCGCGGUAAUACGUAGGAGGCAAGCGUUAUCCGGAUUUACUGGGUGUAAAGGGAGCGUAGACGGCAGUGCAAGUCUGGAGUGAAAGGCGGAGGCUCAACCCCCGGACUGCUCUGGAAACUGUACGGCUGGAGUGCAGGAGAGGUAAGUGGAAUUCCUAGUGUAGCGGUGAAAUGCGUAGAUAUUAGGAGGAACACCAGUGGCGAAGGCGGCUUACUAGACUGUAACUGACGUUGAGGCUCGAAAGCGUGGGGAGCAAACAGGAUUAGAUACCCCAGUAGUC
This 440-nucleotide ribosomal RNA is filed under the name uncultured bacterium. RNAcentral's name for it is "partial 16S ribosomal RNA". It matches the Rfam family "Bacterial small subunit ribosomal RNA", at positions 338 to 795 of the family's 1533-position model. The record is from RNAcentral.